Molecule: long non-coding RNA, 1611 nt
Organism: Ovis aries (sheep)
Lineage: Eukaryota; Metazoa; Chordata; Mammalia; Artiodactyla; Bovidae
Source: Ensembl
CUGACUCGAUGGACAUGAGUUUGGGUAAACUCUGGGAGCUGGUGAUGGACAGGGAGGCCUGGUGUGCUGUGGUUCAUGGGGUCGCAAAGAGUCGGACACAACUGAGCGACUGAACUGAACUGAACUGGGGUCUUAGACAUAGAGGCACUAGAAGGCAGUGGGGAGACUCUUGAUCACAAGAGCAUGUGUUUGCUGGUGAACAGGCUGCUAUCUAGGGUGUGUGGGUGUGUGAAGGGGCUCGAGUCAGUCUGAGGUCUCUCCAGGCAGUUGGCCACAGUGGAUACCAGGCAGCAGAACGAUGGAGUAUCUUAGCAAACUCUCAACAGGGAAGUCCCACAGUGAGGCUGCCUUGCUCAAGGCACACAGAGGGCCUGGCAUAAGGCCCGGCUCUGAGGAGGUGCCUGUUCUGCCUGCGUCUCUGCAUUUGCCUGUUUGGCAUCUGCUCCUCCCAGGGCCAGUGAUAUUAACUAGAUCGUUUGUAUGUGCACGCGUGCUCAGCCGUGUCCGACUCUUUGCAACCCCGUGGACUGUAGCCCACCAGGCUCCCCUGUCCAUGGAAUUUCCCAGGCAAGAAUACUGGAGUGGGUUGCCAUUUCCUGCUCCAGGGAAUCUUCCUGACCCAGGGAUCAAACUUGUGUCUCUUGGGUCUCCUGCAUGGGCAGGUGGAUUCUUUAUCAUUGCAUCACCUGGGAGCCCAUGAAUAGUCGAAGUGGUAACUGUUAAUAGUAAAAGUUGAUUGUGCAAAAGACAGUUCUUGAACAGAGAGCUUUCAAAGCAAAACACAGAAUAAGGCUCAGGGUAUGUUAUUAUAAAGCAGCUCGGACAGUGAGAGGCAGUUGACUGUAAUCUUUGCCGUGAUUGGUUAUGUUAAUAAUGCUGGGAUUUUCUUAAGUGAUAGGGAAUUGGUUCCCUCACACCAAUUCUGGGAAACAGUUUCAGCUGUGCUUAUGAUCCAGAGGCAGAAGGGAGGAAUGACCCCAGAAAAGACAUUAUGAAAAACAUACAGAUUUUAAAAGGACCAGAUGAAAAUUCUAACCACGGAAAGUAAAGACUGACACGUUUUGCAAGGACUCCCCUGGUGAUCUGCAGUGAAGACUCCACACUGCCAACGCAGGGAGUGCACCUGUGUGUAAAACUCAAGCUCUAGACCGCUUCCCCGGUAGUUCAGCUGGUAAAGAAUUCCUGGGUUGGGAAGGUCCCCUGGAGUAGGGAUAGGCUACUCACUCCAGUAUUCUUGGGCUUCCCUUGUGGCUCAGCUGGUAAAGAAUCUGCCUGUAAUGCAGGAGACCUGGGUUUGAACCUGGGCUGGGAAGAUCCCCUGGAGAAGGCAACGACUACCAUUCCAGUAUUCUGGUAUUCUGGCCUGGAGAAUUCCAUGGACUGUAUAGUCCACAGGGUCACAAAGAGUCAGACACGAUUGAGCGGCUUUCACUAAUAAUGCCAGACCACUGAGACCACUAGUCUACUACAGGGCACAGGCAGAACCACCCGCUCCCCUACCCAAAACCCCAGUCCCCUCCUCCAGGGUUUGCCUCCUUUUCCUCGGUCCCAGGGAUCUCUCUUCCCAUCUUGGGAGCUCAGCUAUGAAUUGAAAUUGCUGUCUGGCUUGUG